This 540-nucleotide ribosomal RNA is filed under the name uncultured archaeon. RNAcentral describes it as "bacterial SSU rRNA". It matches the Rfam family "Archaeal small subunit ribosomal RNA", at positions 54 to 599 of the family's 1478-position model. The record is from RNAcentral.
CGAGUCUUUGUAGCAAUACAAGGCAUACGGCUCAGUAACGCGUAGUCAACUCUAACCUAUGGACGGGAAUAACCUCGGGAAACUGAGAAUAAUGCCCGAUAGAACACUAUACCUGGAAUGGUUUGUGUUCCAAAUGAUUUAUCGCCGUAGGAUGGGACUGCGGCCUAUCAGUUUGUUGGUGAGGUAAUGGCCCACCAAGACUAUUACAGGUACGGGCUCUGAGAGGAGUAGCCCGGAGAUGGGUACUGAGACACGGACCCAGGCCCUAUGGGGCGCAGCAGGCGAGAAAACUUUGCAAUGUGCGAAAGCACGACAAGGUUAAUCCGAGUGGUUUCUGCUAAAGGAACCUUUUGUUAGUCAUAGAACCACUAACGAAUAAGGGGUGGGCAAGUUCUGGUGUCAGCCGCCGCGGUAAAACCAGCACCUCAAGUGGUCAGGAUGAUUAUUGGGCCUAAAGCAUCCGUWGCCGGCUCUGUAAGUUUUCGGUUAUAUCUGUACGCUCAACKUACAGGCUGCCGGGNAUACUGCACAGCUAGGGUA